This 440-nucleotide ribosomal RNA is filed under the name uncultured bacterium. Its description in RNAcentral is "partial 16S ribosomal RNA". It matches the Rfam family "Bacterial small subunit ribosomal RNA", at positions 338 to 795 of the family's 1533-position model. The record is from RNAcentral.
CCUACGGGAGGCAGCAGUGGGGAAUAUUGCACAAUGGGGGAAACCCUGAUGCAGCGACGCCGCGUGAGUGAAGAAGUAAUUCGUUAUGUAAAGCUCUAUCAGCAGGGAAGAAAAUGACGGUACCUGAGUAAGAAGCCCCGGCUAACUACGUGUCAGCAGCCGCGGGAAUACGUAGGGGGCACACGUGAUCCGGAAUUACUGGGUGUAAAGGGGGCGUAGACGGCGGGGCAAGUCUGGAGUGAAAGGCGGGGGCUCAACCCCCGGACUGCUCUGGAAACUGUACGGCUGGAGUGCAGGAGAGGUAAGUGGAAUUCCUAGUGUAGCGGUGAAAUGCGUAGAUAUUAGGAGGAACACCAGUGGCGAAGGCGGCUUACUGGACUGUAACUGACGUUGAGGCUCGAAAGCGUGGGGAGCAAACAGGAUUAGAUACCCUGGUAGUC